This 382-nucleotide long non-coding RNA is filed under the name Selaginella moellendorffii. Its description in RNAcentral is "long non-coding RNA (SMOE_LNC002006)". The record is from RNAcentral. Lineage: Eukaryota; Viridiplantae; Streptophyta; Lycopodiopsida; Selaginellales; Selaginellaceae.
AAAUCCCUGGAGGUGUACCAAAACGAAGGUGAGCAAGAGCAAACUUUGAGGACACGCAAAUUUCACCUUAUCUGACGUAGAGAAUCAUCACCAGCCACUUUAGCAAGAAGGUCGCGAUGUUGCGCGUCAGUAACUCUGAGUUCCUUCCGCAAGUCGGAGAUAAGACGCUCUUUGGCCUGCCAGUAGCCUGACACGAGUGAGCAACGCUUUCAACGAAGGUAUAACCAAAUCUAGUUUUUCUUCUUGUUUUACCCAGCUGAUGUUCUCCGACUGUGCUCCGAAGGCACGAAGAACAGCGGUGUACGCAUCUUGUUCUAGUGUUCGUAUCAAGUGGUCGAUGCCCUUCCCUCCAUUCGCUGCUCCAGCUUUGCCAUUUCCAGCC